GGAAUAUUAAGAUAUCAUAGGUAUAUUUGAAAUGGUUCUUUGAUCUACUUUGUUAUUUCCACUUUCAAAAGAAAUAACUAGUGAUGAAGGCCGUCAAUCGCCAUGCUCUUUAAGAACAUAAUUCUUUUAGCAUCAUUUACUCAUUUAGAGAAACAAACAAGAAGUAAACACAGUCAUAAAUUAAAUUGUGAACCAAAGUGAGGUGUGGAUCAAUUAACAGCAAUCGAAGCAGUCCUUUUAUCAAUUUUCUACCCUUAAUUUGCUAGACGCCAUUAGAACAUAUAAUCACGCUUGUGCAUCAAAUGAAGCUAU
This 312-nucleotide unclassified non-coding RNA is filed under the name Hevea brasiliensis (rubber tree). Lineage: Eukaryota; Viridiplantae; Streptophyta; Magnoliopsida; Malpighiales; Euphorbiaceae. The record is from RNAcentral.